This 478-nucleotide ribosomal RNA is filed under the name uncultured bacterium. RNAcentral describes it as "partial 16S ribosomal RNA". It matches the Rfam family "Bacterial small subunit ribosomal RNA", at positions 28 to 523 of the family's 1533-position model. The record is from RNAcentral.
GACGAACGCUGGCGGCGUGCUUAACACAUGCAAGUCGAACGGUAAGGCCCUUCGGGGUACACGAGUGGCGAACGGGUGAGUAACACGUGGGUGAUCUGCCCUGCACUUCGGGAUAAGCCUGGGAAACUGGGUCUAAUACCGGAUAGGACCCUGGGAUGCAUGUCCUGGGGUGGAAAGCUUUUGCGGUGUGGGAUGGGCCCGCGGCCUAUCAGCUUGUUGGUGGGGUGAUGGCCUACCAAGGCGACGACGGGUAGCCGGCCUGAGAGGGUGACCGGCCACACUGGGACUGAGAUACGGCCCAGACUCCUGCGGGAGGCAGCAGUGGGGAAUAUUGCACAAUGGGCGCAAGCCUGAUGCAGCGACGCCGCGUGAGGGAUGACGGCCUUCGGGUUGUAAACCUCUUUCAGCACCGACGAAGCGCAAGUGACGGUAGGUGUAGAAGAAGGACCGGCCAACUACGUGCCAGCCGCCGCAGUAA